RNAcentral lists this ribosomal RNA (859 nucleotides) under uncultured Bacteroidota bacterium. Its description in RNAcentral is "bacterial SSU rRNA". It matches the Rfam family "Bacterial small subunit ribosomal RNA", at positions 474 to 1336 of the family's 1533-position model. The record is from RNAcentral. Lineage: Bacteria; Pseudomonadati; Bacteroidota.
GGUACUGCAGGAAUAAGCAUCGGCUAACUCCGUGCCAGCAGCCGCGGUAAUACGGAGGAUGCAAGCGUUAUCCGGAUUCAUUGGGUUUAAAGGGUGCGCAGGCUGUAAGGCAAGUCAGUGGUGAAAGCCCUGGGCUUAACUCAGGGAUUGCCAUUGAAACUGUUUUACUAGAGUGUAGUAGAGGACGGCGGAAUGAGUUGUGUAGCGGUGAAAUGCAUAGAUAUAACUCAGAACACCUAUUGCGUAGGCAGCUGUCUAUACUACAACUGACGCUGAGGCACGAAAGCGUGGGGAGCGAACAGGAUUAGAUACCCUGGUAGUCCACGCUGUAAACGAUGAUCACUCGUUGUUGGCUACUUAGUAGUCAGUGACCAAGGGAAACCGAUAAGUGAUCCACCUGGGGAGUACGUCGGCAACGAUGAAACUCAAAGGAAUUGACGGGGGCCCGCACAAGCGGAGGAACAUGUGGUUUAAUUCGAUGAUACGCGAGGAACCUUACCUGGGCUUAAAUGCUGGCUGCAUUGGAGGGAAACCUUCAUUUCCCUACGGGACCGCCAGCAAGGUGCUGCAUGGUUGUCGUCAGCUCGUGCCGUGAGGUGUCGGGUUAAGUCCCAUAACGAGCGCAACCCCUAUCGCUAGUUGCCAGCAUGUAAUGGUGGGGACUCUAGCGAGACUGCCGGUGUAAACCGGAGGAAGGUGGGGAUGACGUCAAAUCAGCACGGCCCUUACGUCCAGGGCUACACACGUGUUACAAUGGCCGGUACAAAGAGCAGCCACCUGGCGACAGGGCGCUAAUCUCAAAAACCGGUCUCAGUUCGGAUCGAAGUCUGCAAUUCGACUUCGUGAAGGUGGAUUCGCU